RNAcentral lists this ribosomal RNA (371 nucleotides) under uncultured bacterium. RNAcentral describes it as "bacterial SSU rRNA". It matches the Rfam family "Bacterial small subunit ribosomal RNA", at positions 982 to 1360 of the family's 1533-position model. The record is from RNAcentral.
UGACAUCCGAUGCAUAGCGUAGAGAUACGUGAAGUCCUUCGGGACAUCGAGACAGGUGGUGCAUGGUUGUCGUCAGCUCGUGUCGUGAGAUGUUGGGUUAAGUCCCGCAACGAGCGCAACCCUUAUUGCCAGUUACUACGAAAGAGGACUCUGGCGAGACUGCCGUUGACAAAACGGAGGAAGGUGGGGAUGACGUCAAAUCAUCAUGCCCUUUAUGACCUGGGCUACACACGUACUACAAUGGCGUUUAACAAAGAGAAGCAAGACCGCGAGGUGGAGCAAAACUCAAAAACAACGUCUCAGUUCAGAUUGCAGGCUGCAACUCGCCUGCAUGAAGUCGGAAUGCUAGUAAUCGCGGAUCAGCAUACCGA